Molecule: ribosomal RNA, 468 nt
Filed under: uncultured bacterium
Lineage: Bacteria
Description: partial 16S ribosomal RNA
Rfam family: Bacterial small subunit ribosomal RNA
Source: RNAcentral
GACGAACGCUGGCGGCGUGCUUAACACAUGCAAGUCGAACGGAAAGGCCCUGCUUUUGUGGGGUGCUCGAGUGGCGAACUGGUGAGUAACACUUGAGUUACCUGCCCUUGACUUUGGGUUAACUUCAUGAAACUUGUGCUAAUACCGGAUAGGAUCUCCUGCUGCAUGGUGGGGGUUGGAAAGUUUCGGCGGUUGGGUAUGGUCUGGCGGCUUAUCAGCUUGUUUGUGGGGUAGUGGCUUACCAAGGCUUUGACGGGUAGCCGGCCUGAGAGGGUGACCGGCCACAUUGGGACGGAGAUAAGGCCCAGACUAAUAGGGGAGGGAGCAGUGGGGAAGAUUGCACAAUGGGAGGAAGGAUGAUGCAGCAAAGCCGCGUGGGGGAUGACGGCCUUCGGGUUGUAAACCGAUUUCGCCUGUGACGAAGCGUGAGUGACGGUAAUGGGUAAAGAAGCACCGGCUAACUACGUG